Molecule: transfer RNA, 99 nt
Filed under: Ruegeria sp. HKCCD5849
Lineage: Bacteria; Pseudomonadati; Pseudomonadota; Alphaproteobacteria; Rhodobacterales; Roseobacteraceae
Also listed under: 12 other names
Description: tRNA-Val
Rfam family: tRNA
About the family: Transfer RNA (tRNA) molecules are approximately 80 nucleotides in length. Their secondary structure includes four short double-helical elements and three loops (D, anti-codon, and T loops).
Source: RNAcentral
GGGUGAUUAGCUCAGACAGCGGAGCGUCUGUGUAACAGUUGGUAGAGCGCUUCGUUUACACCGAAGAUGUCGGGAGUUCGAGUCUCUCAUCACCCACCA